Molecule: ribosomal RNA, 840 nt
Filed under: Triticum aestivum (bread wheat)
Lineage: Eukaryota; Viridiplantae; Streptophyta; Magnoliopsida; Poales; Poaceae
Description: partial small subunit ribosomal RNA
Source: RNAcentral
AUGGCGCUCGCCGCCGCGCCCUCCCGCCGGUUCCCCGCCGCUCCUCCCCGACCACCGCCGUCUUCGCCUCUCCAGAGACACGCCCACUUCCGCCCUCAGAACCCACGUCGCACCCCUUCUCCACUCCUCGCCGCCGCGGUCGCCGCCCCGCUCACCGCAGCGGACACGGAGGGGCGGAAGCACGAGCUGCUGCGGGCGGUGCAGGAGACGGGGCGCGGCUCGGGGGCCAGCCCCGACCAGCGCGCGGCCAUCGAGGAUGCCAUCGUGUCCGUGGAGGAGCUCGGCGCCGGGGAGGGGGCACCGCUGGACCUCGCUGCGCUCGACGGCACCUGGAGGCUGUGCUACACGUCUGCGUCGGACGUGCUUAUGCUCUUCGAGGCGGCCGAGAGACUCCCUCUCCUGCAGGUAGGGCAAAUAUACCAGAAAUUUGAGUGCAAGGGUCGGUCGGAUGGUGGAAUUGUGCGGAAUGUCGUGCGUUGGAGCAUCGAGAACUUGCUGGAGGAGCAAGAGGGUGCAACACUGAUGGUCUCUGCAAAAUUUGAUGUUCUGUCUAAGAGCAACAUAUUUCUUCAGUUCGAGGAGGUUGCUGUAGAGAAUAUCAAGAUUAGUGAGCAGCUACAAGCACUGAUAGCUCCUGCUAUACUUCCUCGGUCUUUUUUGAGUCUUCAGAUAUUGCAGUUCCUUAAAACUUUCCGAGCUCAAGUUCCUAUCAGCGGCCCGGAAAGACGAUCGCCUGGAGGACUAUACUAUCUUUCUUACCUUGACCGUGACAUGCUCCUGGGGCGUUCAGUUGGCGGUGGUGGUGUUUUUAUUUUCACAAGAGCCCAGCCUCUAUUAUGA